This 408-nucleotide ribosomal RNA is filed under the name uncultured bacterium. Its description in RNAcentral is "partial 16S ribosomal RNA". It matches the Rfam family "Bacterial small subunit ribosomal RNA", at positions 28 to 526 of the family's 1533-position model. The record is from RNAcentral.
GACGAACGCUGGCGGCGUGCUUAACACAUGCAAGUCGAACGAAGUGGCGAACGGGUGAGUAAUACGUGGGUAACCUGCCCUCCUUUUUGGGAUAAGCCUUGGAAACGGGGUCUAAUACCGGAUAGUGUGGGAUGGGCCCGCGGCCUAUCAGCUUGUUGGUGGGGUAAUGGCCUACCAAGGCGGCGACGGGUAGCCGGCCUGGGAGGGUGGACGGCCACAUUGGGACUGAGACACGGCCCAGACUCCUACGGGAGGCAGCGGUGGGGAAUCUUGCGCAAUAGGCGGAAGCCUGAUGCAGCGACGCCGCGUGGGGGAUGACGGCCUUCGGGUUGUAAACUCCUUUCACCAUCGACGCGGUAGAUGGAGAAGAAGCACCGGCUAACUACGUGCCAGCAGCCGCGGUAAUUC